RNAcentral lists this long non-coding RNA (1080 nucleotides) under Oryctolagus cuniculus (rabbit). RNAcentral describes it as "lncRNA (ENSOCUG00000036641.1)". Lineage: Eukaryota; Metazoa; Chordata; Mammalia; Lagomorpha; Leporidae. The record is from RNAcentral.
AUGGAGUCACCGGGUUCACUUGGCUUCCCUCCCGCCCCGAACUCGCCCGUACCAGGUGGAACACGACCCCCUGCUCCAGACGUGGAACCCAACAACGGUCAAAGAGCGCCUAAGGGGAAGCCCCAGAGGCAACGUCGACGCUACCUCGUGCCCCCUCCCCCAACCUGCAGUCCCACGCCAGCACUUAGGAUCGCCUGCUCAAAGCACGGGGUCUGUCUUUGCAGAGUCCUUGGAGGGCUGCCCUAUUUUCUCUGCUGGUCCGAAAAGCUCCGAGGGUUGCUAGACGGCGGAGGCGGCGGGCCACAGGCUGGGCUGCAAACUUUUCCGUUAGGCGGUGACUCCCGGAGAACGCCGAGGCCCAGGACGGGAGCCCGGGGCCUGGCGGUUCCCCGGCCUUUUAAGUCCGCCCCAAGGGAAAACUCCCAGCCCCACCCCCGCGUCCGCCCCGACCCGCCGGCCGCCGGCCCGGGGCGGGGAACGCGCGCAGCUGGCUGCCCGGGAGCCACAUCUGGAGCGCUCUCCAACCCCCACACCCAGAUGUGCAGGGAGUCGAGGGGCCCCCCGCGGCCGCGGCCCCGCCCCCCCGCAGGCAGCCGGGGUCCAGAUGCGGGACGCGCCCGGCCCCUCGGUGCGCCGGGGUGGGAGGUUGGGGGAGGGGGUCCGGGAAAGGAGCGAAGCUGGAGCCGUGCCGGGAAAGAUGGGGCGGCCGGGUCGCUGGGGCCUCCGCCAGGAGGCGGGGGUGCCCGGUCCCGCCCCGUCCCCGAGCCCGCCCCGCUGCGUGGGAUUUUUACAACCCGCGUCCCCAGGAGGCGGUGGCGAAGGGAGGGGCCGGCGGGGAUGUUUCCGGGGGAGGGCGGGGGGCGGGGUGCGCCUCCUCGGGCGCGGGCGUUUCCGCUCUCGGGGGCCACCCAGAGGCCCUCCCGGACGAGCGGCCCUGGCGACCCGGGCCCCUCGGGCCCCCACGCUCCGACCCGGUUCCUCCAUCGGAAGGGGAGGAGCUACGAGCGCCCUCUCGACUUUCCCUGGCGCGAGAGCCGGCCGGGCGCGCCCCCAGACGCUUUUUGCGCGCAGGAGUUUUGA